AGUCGUACGAGGUUACNGGCUUCGGUUCGGGAUCUGCCGGCGGACGGCUGAGUAACACGUGAGGAACUUGCCCUCCGGUGGGGGACAACCACGGGAAACCGUGGCUAAUACCGCAUGAUGUCACGUUUCAUAAGUGAUGUGACCAAAGAUUUCGGUUGCCGGAGGAGAGUCUCGCGGCCUAUCAGCUAGUUGGUGAGGUAACGGCCCACCAAGGCGAUGACGGGUAGCCGGUCUGAGAGGAUGAUCGGCCAGAGGGGGACUGAGACACGGCCCCCACUCCUACGGGAGGCAGCAGCAGGGAAUCUUGCGCAAUGGGCGAAAGCCUGACGCAGCGACGCCGCGUGGGGGAUGAAGGCUUUCGGGUUGUAAACCCCUUUUGCUGGGGAAGAAGAUCUGACGGUACCCAGCGAAUAAGGCCCGGCCAACUACGUGCCAGCAGCCGCGGUAAAACGUAGGGGCCAAGCGUUGUCCGGAAUUAUUGGGCGUAAAGGGUGCGUAGGCGGCCCGGUAAGUCUCGUGUGAAAGCUCCCGGCCCAACCGGGAGAGGUCACGGGAUACUGCCGGGCUUGAGGAUAGCAGAGGAAGGUGGAAUUCCCGGUGUAGCGGUGAUAUGCGUAGAUAUCGGGAGGAACACCUGUGGCGAAAGCGACCUUCUGGGCUAUUUCUGACGCUGAGGCACGAGAGCGUGGGGAGCGAACCGGAUUAGAUACCCGGGUAGUCCACGCCCUAAACGAUGAGUGCUAGAUAUGGGGGUAUCGACCCCCUCCGUGUCGAAGCUAACGCAUUAAGCACUCCGCCUGGGGAGUACGGCCGCAAGGCUAAAACUCAAAGGAAUUGACGGGGGCCCGCACAAGCAGCGGAGCGUGUG
Molecule: ribosomal RNA, 868 nt
Filed under: uncultured bacterium
Lineage: Bacteria
Description: bacterial SSU rRNA
Rfam family: Bacterial small subunit ribosomal RNA
Source: RNAcentral